Molecule: ribosomal RNA, 477 nt
Filed under: uncultured bacterium
Lineage: Bacteria
Description: bacterial SSU rRNA
Rfam family: Bacterial small subunit ribosomal RNA
Source: RNAcentral
UUCGCAAUGCCCGAAAGGGUGACGAAGCGACGCCGCGUGUGGGAAGAAGGCCUUCGGGUUGUAAACCACUGUCGGGAGUUAAGAAAUACAAGGAUAUGAAUAGUGUCUUUGCUUGACUAAGGCUCCGGAGGAAGCCACGGCUAACUCUGUGCCAGCAGCCGCGGUAAUACAGAGGCGGCAAGCGUUGUUCGGAAUUAUUGGGCGUAAAGAGCACGUAGGCGGCUAUGUAAGUCGGUUGUGAAAGCCUUCCGCUCAACGGAAGAACAGCAUCCGAUACUACAUGGCUUGAGUGCGGGAGGGGAGAGUGGAACUUCUGGUGGAGCGGUGAAAUGCGUAGAUAUCAGAAGGAACGCCGGCGGCGAAAGCGGCUCUCUGGCCCAUAACUGACGCUGAGUGUGCGAAAGCUAGGGGAGCAAACGGGAUUAGAUACCCCGGUAGUCCUAGCCGUAAACGAUGGGCACUAAGUAGAGGGGUUUU